CCAUUUACUUGUUAAAAGACAUAUGGGUUAUUUCCAGUUUGGGGCUAUUACAAAUAAAGCUGCUAUGAACAUUCAUGUAUAUAUUUCUGUGUGAACAAAAGUUUUCAUUUCUCUAGUGUAAACAUCCAGGAGUAAGACUGCUGGGUCACACGGUACCUGGGACUCCACCCAAUAAAAAUAAUAAAUCUCAUGAGCCACACACUCUGCAGUCCAGAAAUCACCUCUGGUGA
This 230-nucleotide long non-coding RNA is filed under the name Pan troglodytes (chimpanzee). Its description in RNAcentral is "long non-coding RNA NONPTRT015024". The record is from RNAcentral. Lineage: Eukaryota; Metazoa; Chordata; Mammalia; Primates; Hominidae.